AAAGGCGAAAAGGAGCUCUUCUUCAGUCCAGUCCGAGGCAGCGGAGGGCUGCCACUUGGCUGCUGACUCGUUGGUUCACAAGCUCAUCAUCAAACAAAUUAUGAAUGUGUUUCUGAUCCAACGAUGCAGGAGCUGCGUUCAGCUCUACCCUAUCACGUCUUGGACUGAAGGGAGCUCCCUUUUUUUUUUUA
This 191-nucleotide microRNA precursor is filed under the name Corchorus capsularis. RNAcentral describes it as "pre miRNA MIR159". It matches the Rfam family "MIR159 microRNA precursor family". The record is from Rfam by way of RNAcentral. Lineage: Eukaryota; Viridiplantae; Streptophyta; Magnoliopsida; Malvales; Malvaceae.